RNAcentral lists this ribosomal RNA (399 nucleotides) under uncultured bacterium. RNAcentral's name for it is "partial 16S ribosomal RNA". It matches the Rfam family "Bacterial small subunit ribosomal RNA", at positions 338 to 730 of the family's 1533-position model. The record is from RNAcentral.
CCUACGGGCGGCAGCAGUAGGGAAUUUUCGUCAAUGGGCGCGAGCCUGAACGAGCAAUGCCGCGUGAACGAGGAAUGUCUUCGGAUCGUAAAGUUCUGUUUAAGGAGAAAAAGAGCGGAGAGCGGAAAUGCUUUCUGAUUUAUAUUACCCUUCGAGGAAGUCACGGCUAACUACGUCCCAGCAGCCGCGGUAAUACGUAGGUGGCGAGCGUUAGCCGGAAUGAUUGGGGGUAAAGGGUGCGUAGGUGGGCUGGUAGGUCUGGAGUGAAAGGUAACGGCUCAACCGGUACAGGGUAUGGGAAACGGGGGGCUAGGGGGAAAGAUAGGGCGGUGGAAAUUCAUGGGUAGCGGUAAAAUGGGUAGAUAUAUGGGAGAAAAUCAGAGUCGGAGGCGGCCGCCU